GCUGGUUUGGUGGCGCACAUCCGUAAUCCCAACAGCUCAGGAGGCUGAGGCAGGAGGAUCACAAGUUCAAGGGCAACCUCAGCAACUUAGCAAGGCCCUAAGCAACUCAGUGAGACCCUGUCUCCG
This 126-nucleotide small RNA is filed under the name Marmota monax (woodchuck). The record is from RNAcentral. Lineage: Eukaryota; Metazoa; Chordata; Mammalia; Rodentia; Sciuridae.